GGUGCGGGCGGGCGGCCGAGCCCCGGGCUAGCCGUGUCCCUCCGACAUGUCGCGCCUUCCGGCCCGGAGGCUUGUCGCGGCGGUGAGGGGCUGGCGCGGCUUCUCAGUUUGCAAGGCAUGUGCUCGCCGAAGAUUUUCCAUCCAGCCUGCCCAGCAGAAGAAGAUUCCAAACCGGUAUUUGGGCCAGCCCAGCCCCUUCACACACCCACACCUUCUCAAACCAGGAGAGGUAACCCCAGGAUUGUCACAGGUGGAAUAUGCUCUUCGCCGACACAAACUGAUGGCGUUGAUCCAGAAAGAAGCCCAUGGCUGGAAUGGAUUGGACCACACAGUGAUUCUGCUAUCCAACCCCACGUACUACAUGAGCAAUGACAUCCCCUAUGUUUUCCACCAGGACACUAACUUCCUGUACCUGUGUGGGUUCCAGGAGCCUGACAGCAUCCUGGUGCUGCAGAGCAUUCCUGGCAAAGCGCUGCCCUCCCACAAAUCCAUACUUUUUGUGCCCCGGAGAGAUCCAAGCCGAGAGCUGUGGGACGGGCCCAGAUCAGGCACGGAUGGGGCAAUUGCUCUCACAGGAGUAGAUGAAGCAUACACCAUUGAGGAGUUCAGGCAGUUGGUGGCCAAGCUGAAAGGUGAGUCAAACAUUGUUUGGUACGACUUGACGAAACCAGUGCAUACAGAGCUGCACUCUGACUACAUGCAGCCCCUGGCUGAGAUAAAAGCUCGGAACAAAAACCACAUCCGGGGCAUCCGACAUCUGGUGCAAAACCUUCGGCUGAUCAAAUCUCCUGCAGAGAUUGAAAGGAUGAAGAUAGCUGGACGGGUGACAGCAGAGGCUUUCACAGAGACAAUGUUUGCCAGCAAAUCCCCAGUGGACGAAGCCUUUCUGUAUGCAAAGUUUGAAUUCGAGUGCCGGGCUCGUGGUGCUGACAUCUUGGCGUACCCGCCUGUUGUUGCUGGUGGCAACAGAUCAAACACUUUGCACUAUGUGAAGAACAAUCAGCUCAUCAAGGAUGGUGAACUGGUCUUGCUAGAUGGUGGAUGUGAGUCUUCCUGCUACGUAAGUGACAUCACGCGUACCUGGCCUGUCAAUGGAAGGUUCACUAAACCCCAAGCAGAACUAUACCAGGCUGUCCUGGAUAUCCAGAAGUCCUGCCUGAGCCUCUGCUCCCCAGGCGUGAGUCUAGAAAAUAUCUACAGCCUCAUGCUGAGCCUUAUUGGACAGAAACUGAAAGAGUUGGGGAUCCUAAAGAGCAGCAUCACUGAGAGCCUCUUCUUCAAGGCUGUUCGAAAGUACUGCCCACAUCAUGUAGGCCAUUACUUGGGCAUGGAUGUUCAUGAUACCCCAGAUGUAUCCCGAUCGCUCCCGCUCCAGCCAGGCAUGGUGAUAACCAUUGAACCAGGCAUUUAUAUCCCUGAGGAUGAUGUGAGUGCCCCAGAGUGGUUUCGUGGCAUUGGUGUGCGCAUUGAGGAUGAUGUUGUGAUAACAGAAGAUGCGCCUCUCAUCUUGUCUGCUGACUGUCCCAAAGAGAUCUACCACAUCGAGCAGAUCUGUAGCCACAGCUCAUGAUGACCCUUCUCUGCAUCUUUGAUCCUCCUCAGGAGACUCAGCCCUCCAGGGAUGCAGAUCCCUGUAGCUGGCUGUAGUUGUCAAGUGAUGGAGGAGGUGGAUAAUCAGAGUGUCAUCUGGGACCUACACACACGCUGCAGUGUCCCUUGAAUACAACCAACUCCAUGAACAUUUUACGUGACCUUUGUCAAGAAACUCCAAAGAAUCCCUCCUCCGGCUGCACAUACCCGUGGCGUACCUCCCCAGUCGCCAAUCCCAUACUGCCAGAUUUACGGUCUGUCUCUGCCACAGAAGAGGUU
This is an RNA transcript of Gymnogyps californianus (California condor), 1869 nucleotides long. It is a transcript of the gene named X-prolyl aminopeptidase 3, with no coding region annotated. The record is from RefSeq and is a predicted model, not a curated record. NCBI's taxonomy places the organism in Eukaryota, Metazoa, Chordata, Aves, Accipitriformes, Cathartidae. The transcript has 11 exons.